This 253-nucleotide ribosomal RNA is filed under the name uncultured bacterium. RNAcentral describes it as "partial 16S ribosomal RNA". It matches the Rfam family "Bacterial small subunit ribosomal RNA", at positions 524 to 776 of the family's 1533-position model. The record is from RNAcentral.
UACGGAGGGUGCAAGCGUCAAUCGGAAUUACUGGGCGUAAAGCGCACGCAGGUGGCUGAGUCAGUCGAUUGUGAAAGCCCUGGGCUUAACCUGGGAAUUGCAGUCGAUACUACUCAGCUAGAGUAUGGGAGAGGGUAGUGGAAUUCCCGGUGUAGCGGUGAAAUGCGCAGAUAUCGGGAAGAACACCCGUGGCGAAGGCGGCUCUCUGGGACGGUACUGACGCUGAGACGCGAAAGCGUGGGGAGCGAACAGG